CGAUAGAAGGAUAGGUCAGUCUCGAAUACCCCGCACUAUACAACAUAAAGGAGGUAGAGCCGGAUGAGCCAAAGAUUUUGAUGUCAAACCAAAUUUUGUCCUUGUUGAUGAUGUUGAGGUUUCUCCUUAGGAUGAUAAUGAGGUUCCUCCAAAGAAUGAUAUAGAAGUUCCUCCUUACGCUGAUACAAAGAUUCCUACAGCUGAUACAAAGGUGGUGGCUUGGGUUGAUACAAAGUUGUUUGUCCACACAUAUGAAGGAUUUUUUAGAGGGCCUAAUGACCCUAUCUGGCUAACUAAAUAUAUCAAUCAUGUGGCAUUUAGAUUAUGAUACAGAGGUAUAAAUAUUUGAUUUUAUAUUGUUUUUGUUAAUAGGAAAAAAAUAUGACCUAAAAGAAUCCAUCCAGGAAAAAAAUGUGACCUAAAAGAAUCCAUCCAAAUGCGUUGUCUCUAAAAGCAUCUUUUUAGAGCGUAUGUUUAUAUAUACAUGUUAUCAGUCUUUCAAACUCUAUUCAACAAUCUAUCCUGGAAUUUUUUAAAUCCUUACAAAAUCUCUCUUUUAUUCAAUUAUUAUUGUGUUUGGUCACACAAUCAAUUUGUUUUUUGAUACUUCACUCUCUAGUCAACAAUCUAUGUUUGAUUUUUAUAAAUCCUCCCAAAAACCUCUCUUUUAUUCAAUUAUUAUAUUUGGUCACACAAUCAAUUUUUUGAUACCGUCAACUUCACUGUCGUAAUAAAUUAUACAUAAUAUAUAUGUGAAUAGAGUUUUAGUGCAUUCUAGAUGUUUUAUAGAUGAAUUUAAACUCUUGUGCGUCAAAAUUAGAUGAAUUUAAACUCUUGUGUGCGUCAAAAUUUUGAAAUUCUGGCUAAGUUUUAUAGAUUAACUUAAGCUCUCUUGUAAUAUAUUGUGCACCCAAAUCUGGAAAUUUAAUUAGAAUUUUUGUGUUUGAUGGACGUUUCUUAUAAAAAUCUAAACUGUACGAGGAGGGCGAUUUUGGAAAUUCUGGGGGUUUGAGAUCACUACUAAGAGGGCAAUGAGAAACCCCCUUACUCUAUGAAGACCUUGUGGAUCACUCAAGGGGUGUUUGAUCAUAUUGAUACUUCUAUUCAUCAAUUUAUAUGGAGGAGGAAACAUAGCCAUUGGGGUGAAUUAUAAGAUUGUUUCUCAACCUAAGUGCAAUGCGGGGUCCCUCAGAACAUUAAGAUUUGGUUGCAGUCUUCUUCAUGUAUUUAUUGGGUUACGAGUGGAUAUCAAUGGUGGACUUUCAUUCCUUUGAUUUUGGAAGUCCAACCUAGCAAGAGACUUGGAAGUGGAUAUGGAAACUUGAAAUUCCCCAAAACUGGAUACACUUCACUUGGUUAUUAAUGCAAGGAAGCCUUCAGACAGGGAGAAUAUCUUGUGAACGAGAAACAAAGAUCAUACAGAACUCCAUCCAAAUGACAGGUAAAUUGGGAAAAACAGAGAAUCAACCUCAUUCAGUUUUACCUGCCUUGAGUGUGUCAUCCAUACGCCACUCCAAUAAGCACUUUUAAACGGUUCUCAGACGCAUAUUCAUCUAUGCUUGGGAAGCUUACAAUUCAUACAAUAUAUCAACUCUUUGUGUACAACUGAAGACAGAGACUACAUGACUCUCCAUCUCAAAAUGUGAAUUUGUACCCAAAAAACAACGGUUUACAUAGUUCAUGAUGGUGUUUUCCCUU
Molecule: long non-coding RNA, 1698 nt
Organism: Vicia villosa (hairy vetch)
Lineage: Eukaryota; Viridiplantae; Streptophyta; Magnoliopsida; Fabales; Fabaceae
Exons: 2
Source: RefSeq, a predicted model, not a curated record